UUGAAAGAAAAGAUCGAGAUUUGGAGAAACUGCCGGAACAAAAGACUAUUAAAAACAGAUUAUAGAUAAUUAGUUGGGUUGGAAUUUUUUCAAUUUCCUUCUUUAUUCCUUGAUGUCGGUCAGGAAAUAAUUAAAUGAAAUCUAGAAGAUUGGCAAAUAUGGAAGCUUGCCAUUGUCAAUGUUCAAGAAAAUUCACGAAAAGAAUUCUAGUUACUGGAGGUGCAGGUUUUAUGUAAGGAAGGUCAUUAUUUUAUCCAAGUAACCCAUUAAGUUGCAUUGCGCCCUACUUUAUUAUUUAAUAUUAAAAUUUGCUCACUAUUUAUAUUUUGUAGUUUAUAAUUUUAAUAAUACUGUAGUUAUAUAAAUUAUCACAAGUUUAUAAAUUUGUUCUAUGGUCUAGUGCUUCACAUGUUGUGAUAAUGUUGGUGGAAAGAUAUCCUGAUUAUUUCAUUGUCAACUUAGAUAAGGUGAGAGAUCAUAUCAAUAUUAAUUUUAUAAAUAACCCUUCUACGUCGCUGCCUUCAACUUGCGGCUAGCCCAGGCACAGAAUAGGAAGGUACAGCAGAAGUGCAACUUGAGUCGGUUCCUUUAUUGUUUUAUGUCCACGAAAAUUUUAACUCGCUCACACCAUCCUGGCUAGUAAAACCAGAAGUUUUUAUCAGGUUUUGGUAGGUACAAAGUGCCGGUUCUACUAGCCAGGAUGGUGUGAUUGAUGACAAAUUGCUUGUAAAAACACGGACAAAUACUUGCUUGAGUUACACUUCUGCUAUACCUUCCUAUUCUGUGGCCCAGGGUACGUACAAGGUUGAUAACCCUUCUGGAAAGUUAUGUCACUUUGGUCUUUGGCCAUGUAGCUAGCUCAC
This is a non-coding RNA of Paramuricea clavata, 863 nucleotides long. NCBI's taxonomy places the organism in Eukaryota, Metazoa, Cnidaria, Anthozoa, Malacalcyonacea, Plexauridae. The record is from the annotation of a GenBank genome assembly.